Molecule: non-coding RNA, 502 nt
Organism: Tupaia belangeri chinensis (Chinese tree shrew)
Lineage: Eukaryota; Metazoa; Chordata; Mammalia; Scandentia; Tupaiidae
Source: the annotation of a RefSeq genome assembly
AGCCUGGGGCAGCUCAGCCAUGUGGGGACCAGAGGCUUUGUCCAUCAUGGCCUGGACUCCUCUCCUCCUGGUGUUCCUCUCUCACUUCACAGGUUCCCUCUCCCAGCCUGUGCUGACUCAUGUCCUGACUCAGCCGCCCUCCCCCUCUGCCUCUCCUGGAGCAUCUGUCAGACUCACCUGCGCCCUGAGCAGUGACAUCAGUGUUGAUGGCUACUGGAUAAACUGGUAUCAGAAGAAGGCAACCUCUCCCCGCUAUCUCCUGAGCUACUACUCAGACUCUGUUAAGCACCAGGGCACCGGGGUCCCCAGCCGCUUCUCUGGAUCCAAGGACACCUCGGCCAAUGCAGGAGUUCUGCACAUCUCGGGGCUGCAGCCUGAGGACGAGGCCGACUAUUACUGCAGUAUCGGGCACAGCGGUGCUGCUCACAGUGACACAGGCAGAUGGGGAAGUGGGACUAAAACUUUAGGCCCUUCACGUGGCCCGUGACAUUUUGUUAACGGU